AGUCGAACGGAAAGGCCCUUCGGGGUACUCGAGUGGCGAACGGGUGAGUAACACGUGGGUGAUCUGCCCUGCACUUUGGGAUAAGCCUGGGAAACUGGGUCUAAUACCGAAUAGGAUCAUGCUCUUCAUGGGGUGUGGUGGAAAGCUUUUGCGGUGUGGGAUGGGCCCGCGGCCUAUCAGCUUGUUGGUGGGGUAAUGGCCUACCAAGGCGACGACGGGUAGCCGGCCUGAGAGGGUGACCGGCCACACUGGGACUGAGAUACGGCCCAGACUCCUACGGGAGGCAGCAGUGGGGAAUAUUGCACAAUGGGCGCAAGCCUGAUGCAGCGACGCCGCGUGAGGGAUGACGGCCUUCGGGUUGUAAACCUCUUUCACCAGGGACGAAGCGCAAGUGACGGUACCUGGAGAAGAAGCACCGGCCAACUACGUGCCAGCAGCCGCGGUAAUACGUAGGGUGCGAGCGUUGUCCGGAAUUACUGGGCGUAAAGAGCUCGUAGGUGGUUUGUCGCGUUGUUCGUGAAAAACUCAACAACUCAAUUGUGGGCGUGCGGGCGAUACGGGCAGACUAGAGUACUGCAGGGGAGACUGGAAUUCCUGGUGUAGCGGUGGAUGCGCAGAUAUCAGGAGGACACCGGUGGCGAAGGCGGGUCUCUGGGCAGUA
RNAcentral lists this ribosomal RNA (661 nucleotides) under uncultured Actinomycetes bacterium. Its description in RNAcentral is "bacterial SSU rRNA". It matches the Rfam family "Bacterial small subunit ribosomal RNA", at positions 60 to 738 of the family's 1533-position model. Lineage: Bacteria; Bacillati; Actinomycetota; Actinomycetes. The record is from RNAcentral.